GAAAAGUCUGAUGAACAUGCAAAUCUGACCAUUGAGUUCCUCAUGGGCUGUCUGAUUAUCGUCCUCAUUAUAAUCAUCAUCGCUCUGGUGCUUAAAAUCUGGAAACUUCAUACAGCACAUAAAGAGGCACUGGAUCCACAAGACAGUAAGAAUGUGGGCUCUGAUGACCUGAACUACGCAGGACUGAGUUUCCUUCCAAGAGCAGAGCAGAGCAGAAGGCCUGCUAGAGAGAGAGAGCCGGAGCCUAAUGUUCUCUACGCCAGCACCAUGCACUCAAGAAACCACCGGAACUGAAGCUUUGUUUAAGUCACGACCUCCGGGGGAUGUCCGGAGAAUGGGGACCGGACUUCCUGCAGUGUUUGCCUUUCAUACAUGAACAAAUCAGAAGGAGAUUUUCCGCUCAUAUUGUAUAUCAAGCAGUAUUGUUGUAAUCAUAAUCCACGAUCCACCACCACUAUCAUAUGCCACCAUCAUCCCUUUUUCAAUUCAAAUUAAAUGUAUUUACACCAUCACCCAGGUGGACGUCUGCAGUCUGGUGGAUCACUUGUUUUACAGGAAGCGACAGAACAGUCAAGGGUAAGGGUCAAAGAUUUGUCUGACUCUGACUAGUUCUCUUCUACAGAGAGGUUUGAGAGACACAUCAGUUGCUCCAUCACCCCAGCAUCCUCCUGUAGGCUCUGACGGGGGUUAUGAGUGUUUGUUCAUCACUUACAUCAUAUUUAUGUUAUCAUAUCUGGGGGAGUGAAUAAGUCGGAGCCUAUAGACACCAAACAAUGAC
Molecule: long non-coding RNA, 778 nt
Organism: Platichthys flesus (European flounder)
Lineage: Eukaryota; Metazoa; Chordata; Actinopteri; Pleuronectiformes; Pleuronectidae
Exons: 3
Source: RefSeq, a predicted model, not a curated record